GAUGAACGCUGGCGGCGUGCUUAACACAUGCAAGUCGAACGAUGAAGCCCAGCUUGCUGGGUGGAUUAGUGGCGAACGGGUGAGUAACACGUGAGUAACCUGCCCUUGACUCUGGGAUAAGCCCGGGAAACUGGGUCUAAUACCGGAUAGGAGCGCCUGUCGCAUGACGGGUGUUGGAAAGAUUUUUCGGUCAUGGAUGGACUCGCGGCCUAUCAGCUUGUUGGUGAGGUAUGGCUCACCAAGGCGACGACGGGUAGCCGGCCUGAGAGGGUGACCGGCCACACUGGGACUGAGACACGGCCCAGACUCCUACGGGAGGCAGCAGUGGGGAAUAUUGCACAAUGGGCGGAAGCCUGAUGCAGCGACGCCGCGUGAGGGAUGACGGCCUUCGGGUUGUAAACCUUCUUUUCAAGUAAGGGAAAG
Molecule: ribosomal RNA, 423 nt
Filed under: Micrococcus sp. oral taxon F54
Lineage: Bacteria; Bacillati; Actinomycetota; Actinomycetes; Micrococcales; Micrococcaceae
Description: bacterial SSU rRNA
Rfam family: Bacterial small subunit ribosomal RNA
Source: RNAcentral